RNAcentral lists this ribosomal RNA (465 nucleotides) under uncultured bacterium. RNAcentral's name for it is "partial 16S ribosomal RNA". It matches the Rfam family "Bacterial small subunit ribosomal RNA", at positions 28 to 507 of the family's 1533-position model. The record is from RNAcentral.
GACGAACGCUGGCGGCGUGCUUAACACAUGCAAGUCGAACGGAAAGGCCCUGCUUGCAGGGUACUCGAGUGGCGAACGGGUGAGUAACACGUGGGUGAUCUGCCCUGCACUUCGGGAUAAGCCUGGGAAACUGGGUCUAAUACCGGCUAGGAGCCAUUUUUAGUGUGAUGGUUGGAAAGUUUUUUCGGUGUAGGAUGAGCUCGCGGCCUAUCAGCUUGUUGGUGGGGUAAUGGCCUACCAAGGCGGCGACGGGUAGCCGGCCUGAGAGGGUGGACGGCCACACUGGGACUGAGAUACGGCCCAGACUCCUACGGGAGGCAGAAGUGGGGAAUAUUGCACAAUGGGAGCAAGCCUGAUGCAGCGACGCCGCGUGGGGGAUGACGGCCUUCGGGUUGUAAACUCCUUUCGCUAGGGACGAAGCUUUUUGUGACGGUACCUAGAGAAGAAGCACCGGCUAACUACGUG